RNAcentral lists this ribosomal RNA (460 nucleotides) under uncultured bacterium. RNAcentral describes it as "partial 16S ribosomal RNA". It matches the Rfam family "Bacterial small subunit ribosomal RNA", at positions 338 to 795 of the family's 1533-position model. The record is from RNAcentral.
CCUACGGGAGGCUGCAGUGAGGAAUCUUGGUCAAUGGCCGGAAGGCUGAACCAGCCAUGCCGCGUGAAGGUCAGUGCCCUAUGGGCGUUAAACUUCUUUUGUGCGGGAGCAAUAAUGGUCACGUGUGGCCAGACGAGAGUACCGUACGACUAAGCAUCGGCUAACUCCGUGCCAGCAGCCGCGGUAAUACGGGGGAUGCAAGCGUUAUCCGGAUUUAUUGGGUUUAAAGGGUGCGUAGGGUGUGAGGUAAGUCAGCGGUGAAAUGCCCCCGCUCAACGGGGUGAAGUGCCAUUGAUACUGCCUAGCUGGAAUGCGGAUGCCGUGGGAGGAAUGUGUGGUGUAGCGGUGAAAUGCAUAGAUAUCACACAGAACACCGAUUGCGAAGGCAUCUCACGAAUCCGCGAUUGACGCUGAUGCACGAAAGCGUGGGGAUCAAACAGGAUUAGAUACCCGUGUAGUC